AACGAACGCUGGCGGCGUGCUUAACACAUGCAAGUCGAACGCGAAAGGGACUUCGGUCCUGAGUAAAGUGGCGCACGGGUGAGUAACGCGUAGAUAACCUGUCUUCAUGUCUGGAAUAAUACGCCGAAAGGGGUACUAAUACCGGAUAUUCUUGCUUUUCAUAAGUUAUGCAAGCAAAGGUGGCCUCUGCAUAUGCUACUGCAUGAAGAGGGGUCUGCGUACCAUUAGCUAGUAGGUGGGGUAAUGGCCUACCUAGGCGACGAUGGUUAGCGGGUCUGAGAGGAUGAUCCGCCACACUGGCACUGGAACACGGGCCAGACUCCUACGGGAGGCAGCAGUGAGGAAUAUUGCGCAAUGGGGAAACCCUGACGCAGCGACGCCGCGUGAGUGAAGGAAGGCCUUCGGGUCGUAAAGCUCUGUCAAGAGGAAAGAAGUGUACAAUGGCUAAUACCUGUUGUAUUUGACGGUACCUCUAAAGGAAGCACCGGCUAACUCCGUGCCAGCAGCAGC
RNAcentral lists this ribosomal RNA (510 nucleotides) under uncultured bacterium. RNAcentral describes it as "bacterial SSU rRNA". It matches the Rfam family "Bacterial small subunit ribosomal RNA", at positions 29 to 518 of the family's 1533-position model. The record is from RNAcentral.